RNAcentral lists this ribosomal RNA (393 nucleotides) under uncultured bacterium. RNAcentral describes it as "partial 16S ribosomal RNA". It matches the Rfam family "Bacterial small subunit ribosomal RNA", at positions 523 to 918 of the family's 1533-position model. The record is from RNAcentral.
AUACGGAGGAUGCGAGCGUUAUCCGGAUUUAUUGGGUUUAAAGGGAGCGUAGGUGGGAUAUUAAGUCAGCUGUGAAAGUUUGGGGCCCAACCUUAAAAUUGCAGUUGAUACUGGUUUCCUUGAGUACGGUAUAGGUGGGCGGAAUUCGUGGUGUAGCGGUGAAAUGCUUAGAUAUCACGAAGAACUCCGAUCGCGAAGGCAGCUCACCGGGCCGGAACUGACACUGAUGCUCGAAAGUGCGGGUAUCAAACAGGAUUAGAUACCCUGGUAGUCCGCACAGUAAACGAUGAAUACUCGCUGUUUGCGAUACACUGUAAGCGGCCAAGCGAAAGCGUUAAGUAUUCCACCUGGGGAGUACGCCGGCAACGGUGAAACUCAAAUGAAUUGACGGGG